UGUUCCUAAUAUGGAUGCUGUGCCAUUAGACAUUUGUGAAAAAAUACUGUAGGCUAUGCCGUGCAGUUCACAAAGUGGUAGCUCUCACUAAGCUGCUUGAUGCAUUUGUUGUGUUCUCUGGCCAUUUAAGCGUUCUUAUGAUCAAGUAUGCUUUUUAUGCGAUCGCAAGUAAUUAGCAAAAAAUACUUGGUUUAUUUUUAGUAUGCAAUAUACUGGGCCUAUGUUAUAUACAGAAUACUUUUUUCCAUAGGAAUCCCGAAGGUGAUUGGUGCGAUUAACCGUACGCAUCCUCAUUACGGAGGGUUAUGUUCAUUAAAUUCAUACAGGUAGCCCUGCAACCUCGGUGUUUUAUGGAGUAGAUCUUCAAUAAUUAACAGAGUAAUGGGUCGAUUUCUGAGAUGUAGCCCAUAACUAUCUUAAUUGUUUUCACAUGUUAAUAUACACUAUUUUACUUGUCCUUACAUCUCAAUCAUACUACAAAUAAAAGGAAAGAAGUCGGCGCAUGAGCCGUUGUGCAAAAACUCCGCUUGUGUUUCCCAACGCGCCCCUUUUAGGCGAACGCGCACAAACUCUAGAAGUUAUAACACCGAGUCAACAAACAUAAUCACCGUCGUAGAACCGUUUAACACCACAAUCAGAGUUUGUCAAUCCUGAAUUUCCUUGAUAUCCCCGAGUUAAAUCUGAGUAGGUUGAACACCCUUCAUAGUAUACCCCCAAGGUCGAGGAGGGUAUAUCCAUAGACAUAAUAAAGAGCAGACCCCGCAUUGGCUGCUGGGCGCGAGAAAUACGGCCGCCAUCUUGGACCGGUCGUACUCCUUGUUGCGUAGCAGCAGAAGCAACGGCGCCAGAGCACAGUGCAACAUAUUCCUGCUCAAAUCGGCGGACCAUCGAAAGCAGGGCUCGGUGGAUUACUUUUCACAAUGUUUUUCAGGUCCUAGAUGCUUCUAAAUGGUAUGUAUUACACAACAUCAACUUUAUGCAGGUGUCAGAAAGAUUGGUAUGUAUGUUGAUAUGAUGUUAUCUUGUUUAAAUGUUUUUCAAUAUGCAGUUUGGUUUCUGUUGGCAUUAUCUUGUAUUCAAUGUGUUUUUCAGGUCCUAGAUGUUUCUAAAUGGUAUGUAUUACACAACAUCAAGUACAUGUAGGUGUCAAAAGGGUAGGUAUUGCAUGUGUUGUUUUCAAGUUAUCCCAGUUCUGCAAUAACAUUGUUACAAGUUAAUGUUCCUUUGUGUACAAGUAUACUGUAUAAGUUAAACAAGAAACUGAUCCCAUUCCUAAAAACAUGGAUGCAAACUAAUUAUCUAUGUGCCCUGGUAGCUGUUAACCAUUUUCAUUCUCUGUGAGUUUGCACCCCUGUGAUAGGCACUUUACUGCUUUGUAUUAACAAAAUCACAUGGGGCUUUCUUGGGGUGUCUUUUCGCCAUGAUCAGAGUAAUAAAACUUUUUUCUUUUGCAGGUACUUGUCGGUCAGCGGAUUUGUCAUCAAUAACGAUGUGUGAUGCUGAUGAUUCCUGAACUGCUUGGAGCUCCUAUUUAAUUAAAUCAGAGCAUCAGGCGGCUGGAAUAACAAUCCAUCGGCACGCCAGUUCCAGGCCAUCUUCCGCCGGCUGAUGGUUCGGUGUGGUGUCUCACCUGGUGAGACAGGCAAUGUGGCAGCCCAGGAUAACACUGUGUCUCUGUCUGAUGUGGAGAUGUCCUCUCCUGAAACUGCGGAAGAGCACCCAUCUCCAUUCGCCAACAUUUGGCCCUUGUGUGUGACCACAGUUAUCUCCCCACUCGGUUUGGUGGUCUGGUGGCAAAUGCUCUGGUCUACAUAGCAGGGUGCUGAGAGCUGCAGAGGGGGUGAUUCACCAAUGCAAGCUCCUGUGGUGUCGACAGUCACACACAUUGUCCGGGAGGAGAUUGGAACGGAGGAUGUUUUUUGCUUGGGGAACACAUUGAGGAGACAGUUUGGCAUCGACAACCAUCAGUCUGACUUGUUGUCAUUGGUUGUGUCUGUGUUUAUCAAAAUAAGUCCCCCACCACAUUGCCAAACUCACCUCUUUUGAACUGCAGAAAGGGAGCACGAGGAAGAAGCUCUGCAAAACUGUCCUCUUACAGGGGUUUUAGAGCGUGUGGG
Esox lucius (northern pike) is the source of this 2117-nucleotide long non-coding RNA. RefSeq lists it as uncharacterized. The transcript is spliced from 4 exons. The record is from RefSeq and is a predicted model, not a curated record. NCBI's taxonomy places the organism in Eukaryota, Metazoa, Chordata, Actinopteri, Esociformes, Esocidae.